AGUGAACGCUGGCGGUAGGCCUAACACAUGCAAGUCGAACGGCAGCACAGUAAGAGCUUGCUCUUACGGGUGGCGAGUGGCGGACGGGUGAGGAAUACAUCGGAAUCUACUUUUUCGUGGGGGAUAACGUAGGGAAACUUACGCUAAUACCGCAUACGACCUACGGGUGAAAGCAGGGGAUCUUCGGACCUUGCGCGAUUGAAAGAGCCGAUGUCGGAUUAGCUAGUUGGCGGGGUAAAGCCCACCAAGGCGACGAUCCGUAGCUGGUCUGAGAGGAUGAUCAGCCACACUGGAACUGAGACACGGUCCAGACUCCUACGGGAGGCAGCAGUGGGGAAUAUUGGACAAUGGGCGCAAGCCUGAUCCAGCCAUACCGCGUGGGUGAAGAAGGCCUUCGGGUUGUAAAGCCCUUUUGUUGGGAAAGAAAAGCAGCAGGUUAAUACCCCGCUGUUCUGACGGUACCCAAAGAAUAAGCACCGGCUAACUUCGUG
This 491-nucleotide ribosomal RNA is filed under the name uncultured bacterium. RNAcentral's name for it is "partial 16S ribosomal RNA". It matches the Rfam family "Bacterial small subunit ribosomal RNA", at positions 29 to 507 of the family's 1533-position model. The record is from RNAcentral.